Molecule: ribosomal RNA, 330 nt
Filed under: uncultured bacterium
Lineage: Bacteria
Description: bacterial SSU rRNA
Rfam family: Bacterial small subunit ribosomal RNA
Source: RNAcentral
AUUGAACGCUGGCGGUAUGCCUAACACAUGCAAGUCGAACGAGGUAGCAAUACCUAGUGGCGGACGGGUGAGGAAUACGUAGGGAUCUGCCCUUAAGUGGGGAUAACCCGGGGAAACCCGGAUUAAUACCGCAUGAUCUCGCAAGAGCAAAGAGGGGGACCGCAAAGGCCUCUCGCUUUUUGGAGGAACCUACGUCGGAUUAGCUAGUUGGUGAGGUAAUGGCUCACCAAGGCGACGAUCCGUAACUGGUCUGAGAGGAUGAUCAGUCACACCGGAACUGAGACACGGUCCGGACUCCUACGGGAGGCAGCAGUGGGGAAUAUUGGACAA